This 497-nucleotide ribosomal RNA is filed under the name uncultured bacterium. RNAcentral's name for it is "partial 16S ribosomal RNA". It matches the Rfam family "Bacterial small subunit ribosomal RNA", at positions 28 to 507 of the family's 1533-position model. The record is from RNAcentral.
GAUGAACGCUGGCGGCGUGCCUAAUACAUGCAAGUCGAGCGAACAGACGAGGAGCUUGCUCCUCUAACGUUAGCGGCGGACGGGUGAGUAACACGUGGAUAACCUACCUAUAAGACUGGGAUAACUUCGGGAAACCGGAGCUAAUACCGGAUAAUAUAUUGAACCGCAUGGUUCAAUAGUGAAAGACGGUUUUGCUGUCACUUAUAGAUGGAUCCGCGCCGCAUUAGCUAGUUGGUAAGGUAACGGCUUACCAAGGCAACGAUGCGUAGCCGACCUGAGAGGGUGAUCGGCCACACUGGAACUGAGACACGGUCCAGACUCCUACGGGAGGCAGCAGUAGGGAAUCUUCCGCAAAGGGCGAAAGCCUGACGGAGCAACGCCGCGUGAGUGAUGAAGGUCUUCGGAUCGUAAAACUCUGUUAUUAGGGAAGAACAAAUGUGUAAGUAACUAUGCACGUCUUGACGGUACCUAAUCAGAAAGCCACGGCUAACUACGUG